AUCUAGAUGACGAGUCCGAAAUAGAACGAAACACGCGUCCUGGAU
Molecule: non-coding RNA, 45 nt
Filed under: Schistosoma curassoni
Lineage: Eukaryota; Metazoa; Platyhelminthes; Trematoda; Strigeidida; Schistosomatidae
Source: RNAcentral